GGCAACCCGUCGUCGGAAGGCGACACACUGCAAAGCAGUGGGCAAACGUGGGGAACUGAAACAUCUCAUUACCCACAGGAAAAGAAAAUAACAAUGAUUCCGCCAGUAGUGGCGAGCGAACGCGGAAUAGCCCAAACCGUUCCUGUUUCGGCAGGAUCGGGGUAGAAGGACCGCCAAUAAAGGCAAGAGCGGAGGAAGUCGAACCAAUUGGAAAGUUGGAUCAAAGAAGGUGACAAUCCCGUAGACGAAUCCGAAGCGAAGCCGAGGCGGCACCUGAGUAGUGCGGGACACGAGAAAUCCUGUAUGAAUCCGCGGGGACCAUCCCGUAAGGCUAAAUACUCCCGAGAGACCGAUAGCGAACCAGUACUGUGAAGGAAAGGUGAAAAGAACCUCGAACAGAGGAGUGAAAAAGACCCUGAAACCAUACGCCUACAAGCGGUCGGAGCCCCUACGUGGGGUGACGGCGUGCCUUUUGCAUAAUGAACCUACGAGUUACUUUUGCCAGCCAGGUUAAUCGAUUCAGUCGAGGAGCCGAAGCGAAAGCGAGUCUUAAUAGGGCGGUAUAAGUUGGCAGGAGUAGACGCGAAACCAAGUGAUCUACCCAUGAGCAGGUUGAAGGUUAGGUAACACUAACUGGAGGACCGCACCGGUAAACGUUGAAAAGUUUUCGGAUGACUUGUGGGUAGGGGUGAAAGGCUAAUCAAACUUGGAGAUAGCUCGUACUCCCCGAAAUGCAUUUAGGUGCAGCCUUCUGAAUAUAUUUAAGAGGUAGAGCGACUGAUAAGAUGCGAGGGCUUCACCGCCUAUCAAGUCUUGAUAAACUCCGAAUGCUUAAAUAUGAAUCAGAGGAGUGAGGGCAUGGGUGCUAAGGUCCAUGUCCGAGAGGGAAAUAACCCAGACCACCGGCUAAGGUCCCGAAAUAACGGCUAAGUUGAAUUAACGAAGUAGAAUUGCAAAGACAGCUAGGAUGUUGGCUUGGAAGCAGCCAUUCAUUUAAAGAGUGCGUAACAGCUCACUAGUCGAGGAGUUCUGCGUGGAUAAUAAUCGGGCAUAAGCCGUUUACCGAAGCUGUGGAAUUGGCAACAAUUGGUAGGGGAGCAUUCCAUAAGCCGCAGAAGGUUUUCCUUGAGGAAUGCUGGAGGUAAUGGAAAAGCAAAUGUAGGUAUAAGUAACGAUAAAGAGGGCGAGAACCCCUCUCGCCGAAAGACCAAGGGUUCCUGAUCAACGCUAAUCGGAUCAGGGUAAGUCGGGCCCUAAGGCGCAGCCGAACGGCGCAGCCGAUGGCAGAAACGGUUAAUAUUCCGUUACUAUGAUACGGAGUGACGAGGAGACGGAGAAGUGACACUCUCGCCUGCUGACGGAAUAGCAGGUUGAACGGAGUAGAUAAUGACAUGGUAGGCAAAUCCGCCGUGACAGUCGAACCGGAUAGUACUGGGCGCCCCCGGGCAACCAGAUAGUAGAGGUAAUCAGGCUCCCGAGAAAAUCCCCUAAACAUAUGCGUAUCAUACCCGUACCCUAAACGGACACACGUGGUUGAGUAGAAAAUACUAAGGCGCUCGAGCGACUCACGGUUAAGGAACUAGGCAAAUUGACCCUGUAACUUCGGGACAAAGGGUCCCUCCCUCCGGGGAGGGCGCAGAGAAUAGGUCCAGGCAACUGUUUAACAAAAACACAGGGCUGUGCGAAAUUGAAAGAUGAAGUAUACAGCCUGACACCUGCCCGGUGCUGGAAGGUUAAGAGGAGACGUCAUCGCAAGAGAAGCGUAGAAUUGAAGCCCCAGUAAACGGCGGCCGUAACUAUAACGGUCCUAAGGUAGCGAAAUUCCUUGUCGGGUAAGUUCCG
This 1842-nucleotide ribosomal RNA is filed under the name human gut metagenome. RNAcentral describes it as "bacterial LSU rRNA". It matches the Rfam family "Bacterial large subunit ribosomal RNA", at positions 122 to 1985 of the family's 2925-position model. The record is from RNAcentral.